UACGUAGGGGGCGAGCGUUGUCCGGAUUUAUUGGGCGUAAAGAGCGUGUAGGCGGCCAGGUAGGUCUGCUGUGAAAACUCGAGGCUCAACCUCGAGACGCGGCGGAAACCAUCAGGCUAGAGUCCGGAAGAGGAGAGUGGAAUUCCUGGUGUAGCGGUGAAUGCGCAGAUAUCAGGAAGAACACCCGUGGCUAAGGCGGGCUCUCGUACGUAACGGAUACUGACGGCUGAGAGACGAAAGCUGGGGGAGCGAACAGG
This 257-nucleotide ribosomal RNA is filed under the name uncultured bacterium. RNAcentral describes it as "partial 16S ribosomal RNA". It matches the Rfam family "Bacterial small subunit ribosomal RNA", at positions 524 to 776 of the family's 1533-position model. The record is from RNAcentral.